UCUCCUCUGCAUUUCAACCCUCUAAUGAUUCUGUGUUGACAACUCACUUUGGGGAAUUCCUGUGUUUGACUGGACAUGCUUUUGUUUUUUUCUGGACAUGGGAGGUGCCUUCAGUUGUAAGUCAAGAUAUAAGACUGGAACAGCUGACCACCAGCAAUGCCAACAUACCACAGCUAUGCCGGGCAUAAUCCUGCAACCCUUACUCAUUUUCCUUUAAUUAGAAUGAAAUCCUGAUGAAUCAUGAGUUCUGCCUGCCUCCGAGAUGCAUGAAGAAUCCAGCUUUGGCAGCAAACAUCCAGGAAUGGAGUUCUGGCCUCCCUGAUCUUCUGGGCCAGCUGCAAGGAGCAGCCAGCAUAUGAAGUCAUAGCUACCAGCCAAAGAGGAGAAGAGAGAGAUCCGCUCAAUUUGGAGCAGACAGUAUUCCAAACCUUGCCUUGUUCAUGUUUCAGAGGCAGACACCAAGGCAGAACCUCAGAAUGGAGGGAAAGCCAGGCAAACACUGCCUGCCACCCUCUGGAGUGAGCUGACCCCUGCUGGCCAGGGCGAUACAGCACCAGUGGAGGUGCUUCAGAAUGGUUUCCUUGAGGACCUGCUCCAUGAAUUUUCCAGGGACUGAGAAGCCUGAGUGGAGAGAGGGAGCUGGGGCCAUCAGAACAGAGGCAGGCAUCCCUGAAGGAGACAGGCAAGGCUAAUAAUUACCACAGAGGGAAGUGACCAGAGGGAAGCUAUAAAUCUGAGUUGUACUUGUGCCUGAGGAAGUAAAUGCAUCUAUUGGCCUUUGACUGCAGUCUGGGUAAGUGCCUUUGAAAAAUCGAUGGUUUUAGAAAGAGCACCCCUUCAUGGAAAUAGCAACUUCCUGCAUGUUAGAACCUAGAAGUAACAAACAGCAGUUUGUAAAUUUUCCCCAUCGUAAUGUAAAGCAAUGUGACUCCACUGGCGUCCAUUAGCUUUUCGAUAUAUGGCAGAUUUUGUACACUGUAGCAGGCAGUGCUUUCCAGGCGGCUUUGAUCUGCUAGGCCUGAACUGCUUUUUUACAGUAGGCACAAGGUCAAACUAGCGGGUUGAGUCUUGAAAAAAUGGCAUGGCCUCUCUGUGAUUUAGCAAUGAUUAAUUAUUCAUAUAAAGGCUGUUGUUUCAGGCAGUGACAUACUCAUGCCUGGGAAUAAGGAACUGAGAGUGAUGUAAUCACUGACUGAAAGUGUGAAUAUAGAGCCUUUGACUUCAAUACUCAGCCUGCUACCAAGGACCCCCUUGCACUAGACAAAUACCAGUUUGUUUACUGGCAUUGUUGCAAUUUGAUUUUUGCUUAUUUCCUCUCACCUACUCACAUUAAAAAUGGAGGCCUUGGCAAAAAAGCACUUAUUGAACUCUUGAGGAGAAAAAUCCUUUAGCACAGGAUGAUUUUUUAAAUGAACCGUGGUUGGUCUGAGAAGAAUGUCCUUUGAAAAGUAUAUCCAUGUAAAAGGGGGUGUCGUUUUACCGGUUUCUAGUCUCCUUGGAGGGGAUGGUUUUGUGUGUGGUACUAUGUAAAUGGUACUCCCUGCAGUCACUAAAGCAAAUUCAGUGCAAGGAAGAUUUACAGGAUUGGGCCCUAACUUUGGUUUUAAUUAACAAGUGAGUUUUAAUUAAUCUUCCAAGGUAACCCACGGUAUUAAUCACAAGUAAAUUUUUGUUUAUGGUUACUUCAUCAUCUUCCAAUGGCAUGGGACUGUAUAGAUGUACCAGUCUUCAAGCAGAAUUCCCAUCAAUUUUCCAUGGAAGAGUUCUGUUUCAAAACAGAUGCCAUAAUAUAUCCCAUCAGUCUUUAUUUUCAGGUACAAUCUUCAAAUACACUGCUCAAUGAUUACAUGGGAACAGGUAAUCCCAAUCCACUGUAAUUUGAUGUGGGGGACAAGGUUGUAAUCUUCAGGAUUUGCUGAGUAUCACAGAAGAUCCUAGAUAUAAAUCAUGGGUGGAAGCAAAGGAGAAUAAUCCUAAUUUUUGAAUGGAAAAAUAUUAAUGACCCUUUCUGAAGCAUUUGGUAAAUAAAGAGUUUAAGACAACUUCCUUCUGGGUGCUUUUGUCUUGUGACUAUGACUAAACACAUCAUGCUGUCACCAAAAUUUCUUCUGCUGCGUGUACUGAUUUUACAGACAGCUUUCUUGCUGAGUUAGUAUGUUUGCCGGAAACUCAUUUAUGUGUAUUUCAGUAACAGAAAGCUGACUGGAUUUUGGCAGAAAACAAAGAUUCCUCCUAGCUGGCUGCCUUUUUACUAUUGAUGUGGAUUAUUUUUAAUGUCAUCUCUCAUUUCAAAGGAAAUACAUAGUCUCUUUUGGUUACCAGAUAAUGUCAACCAGGAGGCAAGGCAUCUGGAAUUGCUUUGUUGCAAGAACAGUCUUUUGGUUAAAGAGAGUCAGGCCUAAAGCGUUCUCAAGACCCAUGUCACUAAUGGUGAUGAAUGCACAGACACAACCAGCAAUGGGUGACGAGAGAAACUCACUGACAAACAGGGUAUUUUUCAGACUUCCCUUUCACUUUUCUCUUUGUAAUGUAUAUUUUUGGACUUUUCGGGUUGAUUUUGUAAAUGCUGACUGGUUGCUGAUCUAGCCACAUGGCUGAGCGGACAAGGGAAGUGUAAAUUGUGUAUCAUUCUUAGUCUCCUCUGUAGUUAAUCAAGGGAAAAUCCAGAAUUCCUGUUUGAAUGACAUCAUUUACAUGGUGGGUCUGUAGGCUAGCAGUGUUACAUAAUCACCUUUCUCUUCCCUUUUUUGCUUCAUAUUUCAAGCUCAAUAAUACACCUGAAACCAGCAGGUAUGUACUCAGCAGGGCUCAGACAUGCCUCCGCUGACACUAUUUGUGCUACUGCGGUUAGGCUGCUAUUUAUAUGCACACUAGCUUGAUGAGAGCUAGCAUGAGUCUGUGUACACAAGCAGGGGAAUCACAGCCCUAGCUCUUCGCCUAGAUGUAGCCUCAGUCCCACUUACUGCUGUGUAAGGGAGUGUAACAUGGUUUAAAAAACAUACUGAGAAUUUGGAAAUCAAUUAAAGUAGGGGACGCCCUUCUUUAACCUAGAUCUUCACGCAACCCCUCUUAGUUUCCUUUCUUGCCAUUCCCCUAAGCCCCCUCAUCUGACCUCAAACCAUCUUAGGCCUGAUUUACACAUCAAGUUUUGCUAGCAUAGCUAUGUAGGCUAGGGGAGUUUAAAAAAAAAAAUCACGCACCCCAGCCAACCCCUGUCAGCUGUCAGCAUAACUAAUAUUGUUGAAGGAGGUCGUUUUACUAUGCCAGCAGAACUUUGGCUUCUGUUGUGUCUACACUAGGGGGUAUGCCGGCAAAGCUAUGCCAGCACAGGGUGUGUGGUGUAGACAUGGAUUUAGACUCCUUUAUGUACUCAGAUACCAUAGAGGUGAGCACAAUAUAAGAACCUCAAUAGAAUUUAGACUUCUUUACUCUCAGAUUCAGCAGGCCUGAUCUUGAGCUCAUUUACAGAGUUUCAGCAUUGGUGAAACUCCAUUGGCUUCAAUGGAAUUAUCCCAAUUUACAUGAGUGUCAGUUAAAUCAGAAAGAGGGCGUAAUGUCCGUAUUCAGAGAUAAUGCACAAAGGUGGGUGUAAGUCUAAGUGAGUCUAGAGACAAAGUUGUAUUGAUGUGCAAUACAUGCUGAUAGGAUCACAAGAAUGGGUACAUUAUACCAAUUUACUGUCCUUUCAGUUCACUUAGACUCACCUCUGAAGUUGUCUCACAGGCCUCCUCCCCUACCUAAUUGCACCCUGUGAGAAGAGUGGAAAGUACAUGUUCUGCACUACCCCAGAGUUACCCUGACCUGUUAUUUUCUAGGAAAGUAUCAAAGAGCACUAAGUGAAUGAGUCCCAGGGCAGGAGAAAGCAGAACUCCUCAAGGUGCAAGAAGGUUUUAACUUAUGUAUUUUAAAUAGAUAAAGUGGUGGCACCACAGAGACACCCAUCAAUAUAACGUCUCACACACAGACCUCCAUGCACCCGUGCCUGUUUUCCAAUGCUGAGGGCCCAGUCGAACUCUCAAGAAACACGAAUAUAAAUUUGGAGUAACUUCCCUGUCUUCAGUGGUGUCACUCUGGGUGAAAAUAGAAUUGGACCCAAGGCUACAUUCAACCCUUGGUGUAAGUUGGUGCAUGUUAUGGUAAGGUUUCAGUCUGGGCCCACCUGAGAUCAAGGACUGUCUACUUCAUCAGAAGGGUUCAUUGGGAAAUGUUUGGGUUAGCCCAUGACCAUCGGUUUUGCAAGUCAGCUCUAUCACAAGCAAAGACUGAGAUGAAAAUACAUCUGAGAUGGCUGGAUUCGCUUUUAUGUAGGAAAAAAAAAUGGAAAAGCACCCAAAAAGGAUUCCCAGUCUGAACUAAAGGCCCUGGGACAGGGGACCCUUGAUGUUGAAAUAUGAACGAUGCUCAGAGUAAGAAAAGCUAUGCUGAUGUUCAUGGAAGACUCAACUUUCUGAAUACAAAUGAUCUUCUUUUCUUUCUGGAAGUAUAUAACAGAUUACAGUGGGCCAGAUUGUGCCCUUACAUAUACCCUGUGCAACCCCACUGGCUUUAAUGGGGGUGCGUGGGGCAAAAGUAAAGGCAGAACUUGGUUUUCUUUAUCUUUGCAGCUUGUCAUCUCUCCAUCAUCGCUGAUUAUACAUAGCACCGGCAUGGCCAUAGCAGGAAAGAGAGGCACACUUAGAAAGAAAUCCUAGUUAUGUGCUCCCAAAUUACCCAUUAAAACCAGGUCAGGACAGUUUUCUUUUUUCCUCUCCACAUGGAAAAUAAGUAACGAGAGUGAAUCCAGUAAUCAGGAAGAGAACUGUGUCCUGCAGUCCACUAUUGUUAGCUUACUGGUCUUAUUAUUCUUUUCUUUUGGAUAUAUGGCAAAGCUGUAGGACUGAAAUUCACCCCUGUGCAGAAGACCAGCCCUAGGCCUACACACUGCUUCAGGCCUCAGAGAUUAGGGCAUAAAUGGAGCACAGAGCUUAUACAAGAGUGAAUGUCAUCCUAACUCAGGGUUUCCUAAAGCGUGGGAAGGGCUGCCCCAUUGGGCAAGAAGGUACAAAGGUGCAGAAAAUGAGUAAAUGACAGUGCAUACGCAGACUUUAACAACACACAGUGGGGUGGAGGUUGGGGGUGUGUGUCAUUUUCAUUUCCUGGAAAGGGUGCUCAGCUUCCAAAGUUUGGGAAAUGUCCAGAGCGAAGGCUUUGGCUGUUUACGUGUGUGAGACAGGCAAACAGCAACCAUCACCUGAGACAUUUAGCACAAUUCUGGCUAGCUUGGCUGAGUAAGGGGACUUCCUCAUUUUAUAGUGCAUGGAAUCCACCUGGCACAUUGAUCUAAUUUACCUGUGCCAUGCUCAGAUACUAUAAUGGAGGGGGCUAGAGAAAAGCAAUAGACAAAUAAAUGGCCCUGCUCUUGAGUCUUUGCUAUGGUACUGUGCAGAAAUCACAAACAGAGUUCCGGGCUCAGUUAAACCAUGUCAUUUGAAGUCAAUGGGGUUUAAAAUGGCAGGGUAUAUGGCUCAGAUUGUUCAGCCAACCAUUCUGCUAUAUGAUUACCUCUGUUCAACUCUUGGGUCAGUAUAGGUAUUGUAAACCUGGUCUGUGGGACAGGGUGUUUCCAAGCCUGUGCUUGAGCAUCCACAUUGCACUGUAAACCUGGGUUUUACAACUACUGGACCCGGGUCUCUUAGCCAUGCUAACACGUCCAUACUGCACUGUGCAGAUCUUCUGACCUGGCUCCGCAGCUUGAGCUGCAUCCACAAAGCAAAAUGACAGGGCUUGGGCCUGAGUCAGAGCGGGACUCUGGCUUUGACCUGCAUCCCUAGCAGGUGCUUAGUGACCCACGUCAGUCUGAUUUGUUUGGACAGAAGAGGGGCUGAAGCUCAAACCUGAGUGAGAGCCUCUGUGUGCGUGUGUGUGUGUGUGUGUGUGCACAGAUUAGGCACACCCCAAGUUAGCUGACCCUAAGUUAGAGGAACACAGCAACAAAAGAUCCUACAGCACUUUGAAUAUAUAUAUAUAUAAUUGAUUGGAUAGGGUUGAUUGCACUAGUGAAAUGCAGGUGCCUCUGGGGUACAAAGUGACUGAUGAUUAGUAGACAAAAUGUGAAGAAUACACCAUCCAGUUGGAACCCCAGGGCAAAUUGCAAGUAUAAUUCCCCAAGUGGAAUUUGUCCAGCUGAGUACUCAGAGUAGAUAAGAUAUUGCCAUUCUGGAAGACCAACCCUAUCACAUUUGUUUUUCACAACACCAAGAUGAGUUAUUGGAGCGCUGGAGGUUGCAAGCCCAGAAAGCCUGCUGAAUUUUGUUUGCCUUAGAUUGUUGAUCCAAACAGAUACAGGGGGAUACUGAAAGGUGAACUCUUUGUAAUUUUCCAUGAUCUUAUCUGAAGGCAUCAAAAUGACCUAGACAUUCAUCAGGUGGUUACACUAAAAGCCACAAAAAUAAUUUAACAGCAUUACUUUAUGAAGUUGCAGACUUGGGGGAGCAAUGCGCGUUUCCUGGGGGGUUGUGGGUGACCCCAUUUGUCAGGAAUGGGCAGCAAAGGAAACUGAGUGCUCCUCACACCCGUUUUGAAAAGCUAAAGAGAUGUCAUCAAUUUACCAUUCACCCUUCUGCCUAAACAUUUUUUACCCACCAUUGUUACAAGGAACAUCUAAGACUGCUACCACUGAAAGAGAUUUGAGGAGAAAAAAGUAUUUUUCUCAAUCUUUUUCAGUUUUCUUCCUUUGUACAUGAGACAGCAUUUCGCAUGUAGUCAAUUUCAUGGUUUCCCUGUGUUGUUAUUGUGUUUUUUUGCUCUAGUUUGUGCAGGGCUAUGGGAAACAGUGAAACAUUUUAAAAAUAGGAAAAUUUGUUUGUAGAUCCACAAAAGUUGGCAGGGCGAGACAGGGUGGGGCUAGCAUCUGCACCUGUUUUUAGUUUGUUUCUUCAAAAUGAUUAGCUUUCAGCUUGAGAGUUUCUCUUUAAAAUAAUAGAAACAUUCUAAAAAGGCAAAUUUUCUGUUAUAUGCAGUUUAAAGACUUCUUACUGAAAGUGAACUUUGAGAAAAAUCUCAUCCCAAGUUGCCUCUUAGAACCCCUACUUACUGGCUGGAAGUGCAUGGAAGGGUUGAUCAAGAUAUUAUUCUAGACCUUAAAAACUGCUGAUUUGGCUAAAAACUGAACAAAAAUGGUACAAUGGAAGCAGGACAUGCAAAUUCAGCUCACAGAGAACUUGAAGGGAAAAUUACACAUGCUGGAAGGUACAGAUGAGUCCAUCCUAAAUAACAACAUGAGGCAGACAUGUUGGAUCAUAUUAAAGAAGUUCUGUAUUAAAAUCACAAAUGAGUUUGAUUCCCCAUAGUUUAAAUUCCGGAGUAUUACUUAUUAAGAGGUCUCUUGGUUUUUGGUACUAUUUCUCUCCCUCUAUGUGUGAAACUUGCAAGUUGCUAAUUGCGUUAGUACAUUCUAAGACAGAGUCUGUUCUCAAAGCAAUUCACACAGAGAGAGACUCAAAGCAAUACUCUGUAACAACAGAAACAGCACCCAGAGACUCCCCGCCCUUUUGUUGUAUUAACAAUUGUGAUUAAAAUAGAGAGAGAGGAUGUAUGUGGAUGGAUGCUUGGUGUGGAUAAUAACUGAAUGAUCAGGGAGGUGCCAGCCUAAGAAUCCAGUGUCCAUCGGCUGAAGAAGGCGUCAAGUGGAAAUAACCAGAGGACCCCCCCCCCCGGAGGGCAGACUGGAAUCCACCCAACAGCCUCAAGAAUGGGAGAACCAAAGAACAAAAUAACAUCUAGCAGCACGGAUCCAUCAGGAAUGUGCUAUCUGCUGACUGAUUCAGCAACAGCAUGAUGAAGCAAUUCCCAUAGACUGGCCUAGGAAUAAAUUCCUAUAAAAAUAGACUCUAGAAAGUGAGAACGUUGGGGGGGAUCUGAUUCUGCAAACCAACUUCCAGGAGCAUCAGAUGAGCAUCUGACAAGGCCCUGCUCCCUCCUCACAUCCAGGCCACCUGGCCAGUGGCUUGGCAUGAGCAACUCUAAGGCUGGGAACUAUGAUAACAACCUUGCAGAACCUAUGUGUGUGUGUGUGUGUGUGUGUGUGUGUAUGAAUGAAUGUGUGAAUAAAUAUGAGAUUGGAUGGAAUGUUAUAACUAUAACUAACUGCUUACUAUGAUUCUUUCUGUAUUCACAAUAAAUGUGGUAUUUUGCC
Molecule: long non-coding RNA, 8173 nt
Organism: Caretta caretta (loggerhead turtle)
Lineage: Eukaryota; Metazoa; Chordata; Testudines; Cheloniidae
Source: RefSeq, a predicted model, not a curated record